RNAcentral lists this unclassified non-coding RNA (328 nucleotides) under soil metagenome. RNAcentral's name for it is "partial contains 5.8S ribosomal RNA, internal transcribed spacer 2, and large subunit ribosomal RNA". The stretch from base 1 to 120 matches the Rfam family "5.8S ribosomal RNA", at positions 35 to 154 of the family's 154-position model. The record is from RNAcentral.
GAUGAAGAACGUAGCGAAAUGCGAUAAGUAAUGUGAAUUGCAGAAUUCAGUGAAUCAUCGAAUCUUUGAACGCACAUUGCGCCCCUUGGUAUUCCGAGGGGCAUGCCUGUUCGAGCGUCAUUAUAACCCCUCAAGCUCAGCUUGGUGUUGGGGCCUGCUGCACUGGCAGCCCUUAAAAUCAGUGGCGGCGCCAUCUGGCUCUAAGCGUAGUAAUUCUUCUCGCUAUGGAGUCCUGGUGGAUGCUUGCCAUCAACCCCCAAUUUUUCUAUGGUUGACCUCGGAUCAGGUAGGGAUACCCGCUGAACUUAAGCAUACAAUAAGCGGAGGA